Molecule: ribosomal RNA, 539 nt
Filed under: uncultured Enterococcus sp.
Lineage: Bacteria; Bacillati; Bacillota; Bacilli; Lactobacillales; Enterococcaceae
Description: bacterial LSU rRNA
Rfam family: Bacterial large subunit ribosomal RNA
Source: RNAcentral
CCAUUCCCCUCGUGUGCCUUGCCGUCCCACGACUCGGCCGCGUCGACGUCUCAACGAGAGACUCGGUGAAAUUUUAGUAACCUGUGAAGAUGCAGGUUACCCGCGACAGGACGGAAAGACCCCGAUGGAGCGUUUACUGCAGUUUGAUAUUGAGUAUCUGUACCACAUGUACAGGAUAGGUAGGAGCCUAUGACCUCGGGACGCCAGUUUCGAGUGAGGCGUUGUUGGGAUACUACCCUUGUGUUAUGGCUACUCUAACCCGCGCCACUGAUCGUGGCGGGAGACAGUGUCAGGUAGGCAGUUUGACGUGGGGCGGUCGCCUCCUAAAAUGUAACGGAGGCGCCCAAAGGUUCCCUCAGAAUGGUUGGAAAUCAUUCGCAGAGUGUAAAGGUAGAAGGGAGCUUGACUGCGAGACUGACAAGUCGAGCAGGGACGAAAGUCGGGCUUAGUGAUCCGGUGGUUCCGUAUGGAAGGGCCAUCGCUCAACGGAUAAAAAGCUACCCUGGGGAUAACAGGCUUAUCUCCCGUCGACGCGGCCG